AGAGUUUGAUCCUGGCUCAGGAUAAACGCUGGCGGCGUGCAUUAGACAUGCAAGUCGAACGAACAACCUCGGGCUUGCCCGGGGAAGUGAGUGGCGAACGGCUGAGUAACGCGUAGGUGACCUGUCCUGAAGUGGGGAAUAACUGCCCGAAAGGGUGGCUAAUACCGCAUACGGUCAUGAGUUCAUUCUCAUGUCCAAAGCCUUCGGGCGCUACAGGAGGGGCCUGCGUACGAUUAGCUCGUUGGUGAGGUAACGGCUCACCAAGGCGACGAUCGUUAGGUGGUCUGAGAGGAUGAUCACCCAGACUGGGACUGAGACACGGCCCAGACUCCUACGGGAGGCAGCAGUCGGGAAUUUUGCUCAAUGGGGGAAACCCUGAAGCAGCAACGCCGCGUGAGGGAUGACGGCCUUCGGGUUGUAAACCUCUUUUGCCGGGGACGAUAAUGACGGUACCCGGAGAAUAAGCCACGGCUAACUACGUGCCAGCAGCCGCGGUAAUACGUAGGUGGCAAGCGUUGUCCGGAUUUACUGGGCGUAAAGAGCGCGCAGGCGGCCAAGUCAGUCGAAUGUGAAAGCCCCCGGCUCAACUGGGGAAGGUCGUUCGAUACUGCUUGGCUCGAAGAUAGGAGAGGGAAGUGGAAUUUCAGGUGUAGUGGUGAAAUGCGUAGAUAUCUGAAGGAACACCAGUGGCGAAGGCGACUUUCUGGCCUAUUCUUGACGCUGAGGCGCGAAAGCUAGGGGAGCGAACGGGAUUAGAUACCCCGGUAGUCCUAGCCGUAAACGAUGAACACUAGAUGUUGGUGGUAUCAACCCCGCCAGUGUCGCAGCUAACGCAUUAAGUGUUCCGCCUGGGGAGUACGGCCGCAAGGCUAAAACUCAAAGGAAUUGACGGGGGCCCGCACAAGCAGCGGAGCGUGGGGUUUAAUUCGACGCAACGCGAAGAACCUUACCAGGGCUUGACAUGACCAGGAAACCGGCGGAAACGUCGGCGCCUCGCAAGAGGCCUGGCCACAGGUGUUGCAUGGCUGUCGUC
This 1033-nucleotide ribosomal RNA is filed under the name uncultured bacterium. RNAcentral describes it as "bacterial SSU rRNA". It matches the Rfam family "Bacterial small subunit ribosomal RNA", at positions 8 to 1056 of the family's 1533-position model. The record is from RNAcentral.